RNAcentral lists this long non-coding RNA (216 nucleotides) under Hordeum vulgare. RNAcentral's name for it is "long non-coding RNA (HVUL_LNC018839)". The record is from RNAcentral. Lineage: Eukaryota; Viridiplantae; Streptophyta; Magnoliopsida; Poales; Poaceae.
GAGAAUAUUUUAUACGCACUUUUAAAAAUAAAAUAUGAAUGAUGUCGCGAGCGCGUGCGUGUGUGGUCGGGCUCGAGACGGCCAACGAUGAAAACAAAGAGAACCGACAACUACUAACGGAUGCAGGUUUUGAAAACUGACGGCAACAGAGUGCCGAUGCAAUGCGGAUGAUGCGCAUGAUGCGAUGAUGAAUGUGGCAAACAAAAUAAUAACACG